This 410-nucleotide ribosomal RNA is filed under the name Rhizobium sp. MRCD 19. RNAcentral describes it as "bacterial SSU rRNA". It matches the Rfam family "Bacterial small subunit ribosomal RNA", at positions 29 to 486 of the family's 1533-position model. Lineage: Bacteria; Pseudomonadati; Pseudomonadota; Alphaproteobacteria; Hyphomicrobiales; Rhizobiaceae. The record is from RNAcentral.
AACGAACGCUGGCGGCAGGCUUAACACAUGCAAGUCGAGCGCCUCGCAAGAGGAGCGGCAGACGGGUGAGUAACGYGUGGGAAUCUACCCAUCUCUACGGAACAACUCCGGGAAACUGGAGCUAAUACCGUAAACGUCCUUCGGGAGAAAGAUUUAUCGGAGAUGGAUGAGCCCGCGUUGGAUUAGCUAGUUGGUGGGGUAAUGGCCUACCAAGGCGACGAUCCAUAGCUGGUCUGAGAGGAUGAUCAGCCACACUGGGACUGAGACACGGCCCAGACUCCUACGGGAGGCAGCAGUGGGGAAUAUUGGACAAUGGGCGCAAGCCUGAUCCAGCCAUGCCGCGUGAGUGAUGAAGGCCCUAGGGUUGUAAAGCUCUUUCAACGGUGAAGAUAAUGACGGUAACCGUAGAA